CUGUUCUGGGUGCAUCACCCG
RNAcentral lists this microRNA (21 nucleotides) under Eptesicus fuscus (big brown bat). RNAcentral's name for it is "efu-miR-9223h". The record is from miRBase by way of RNAcentral. Lineage: Eukaryota; Metazoa; Chordata; Mammalia; Chiroptera; Vespertilionidae.